UGGUUCGGUGCCGUGGACUACCAAUUCCCGCCGGAAGAACGCCAGGGCGCCUACGAAGAGGAAGGACAC
This 69-nucleotide non-coding RNA is filed under the name Pycnococcus provasolii. Lineage: Eukaryota; Viridiplantae; Chlorophyta; Pseudoscourfieldiophyceae; Pseudoscourfieldiales; Pycnococcaceae. The record is from RNAcentral.